This 253-nucleotide ribosomal RNA is filed under the name uncultured bacterium. Its description in RNAcentral is "partial 16S ribosomal RNA". It matches the Rfam family "Bacterial small subunit ribosomal RNA", at positions 524 to 776 of the family's 1533-position model. The record is from RNAcentral.
UACGUAGGGUGCGAGCGUUAAUCGGAAUUACUGGGCGUAAAGCGUGCGCAGGCGGUUUUGUAAGCCGGAUGUGAAAUCCCCGGGCUUAACCUGGGAAUGGCAUUCGGGACUGCAAGGCUGGAGUGCGGCAGAGGAGACUGGAAUUCCUGGUGUAGCAGUGAAAUGCGUAGAGAUGUGGAGGAACACCGAUGGCGAAGGCAGCCUCCUGGGCCAGCACUGACGCUCAUGCACGAAAGCGUGGGGAGCAAACAGG